UUGAACGCUGGCGGAAUGCUUUACACAUGCAAGUCGAGCGGCAGCGCGGGGGCAACCCUGGCGGCGAGCGGCGAACGGGUGAGUAAUGUAUCGGAACGUACCCUGUCGUGGGGGAUAACACAGCGAAAGCUGUGCUAAUACCGCAUACGACCUGAGGGUGAAAGCGGGGGAUCGCAAGACCUCGCGCGAUAGGAGCGGCCGAUAUCGGAUUAGCUUGUUGGUGAGGUAAAGGCUCACCAAGGCGACGAUCCGUAGCUGGUCUGAGAGGACGACCAGCCACACUGGAACUGAGACACGGUCCAGACUCCUACGGGAGGCAGCAGUGGGGAAUUUUGGACAAUGGGGGCAACCCUGAUCCAGCCAUUCCGCGUGAGUGAAGAAGGCCUUCGGGUUGUAAAGCUCUUUCAGCAGGAACGAAAACGCAUCGGUGAAUACCCGGUGUGGAUGACGGUACCGUAAGAAGAAGCACCGGCUAACUACGU
This 482-nucleotide ribosomal RNA is filed under the name uncultured bacterium. RNAcentral's name for it is "bacterial SSU rRNA". It matches the Rfam family "Bacterial small subunit ribosomal RNA", at positions 29 to 506 of the family's 1533-position model. The record is from RNAcentral.